UCAGGCCUAACACAUGCAAGUCGAACGGCAGCACGGACUUCGGUCUGGUGGCGAGUGGCGAACGGGUGAGUAAUGUAUCGGAACGUGCCUAGUAGCGGGGGGUAACUACUCGAAAGAGUAGCUAAUACCGCAUACGCCCUACGGGGGAAAGGGGGGGAUCGCAAGACCUCUCACUAUUAGAGCGGCCGAUAUCGGAUUAGCUAGUUGGUGAGGUAAAGGCUCACCAAGGCGACGAUCCGUAGCUGGUUUGAGAGGACGACCAGCCACACUGGGACUGAGACACGGCCCAGACUCCUACGGGAGGCAGCAGUGGGGAAUUUUGGACAAUGGGGGCAACCCUGAUCCAGCCAUUCCGCGUGUGCGAUGAAGGCCUUCGGGUUGUAAAGCACUUUUGGCAGGAAAGAAAUCGCACGGGUUAAUAACCCGUGUGGAUGAC
RNAcentral lists this ribosomal RNA (436 nucleotides) under uncultured bacterium. RNAcentral describes it as "bacterial SSU rRNA". It matches the Rfam family "Bacterial small subunit ribosomal RNA", at positions 42 to 473 of the family's 1533-position model. The record is from RNAcentral.